Molecule: ribosomal RNA, 209 nt
Filed under: uncultured Anaerolineaceae bacterium
Lineage: Bacteria; Bacillati; Chloroflexota; Anaerolineae; Anaerolineales; Anaerolineaceae
Description: partial 16S ribosomal RNA
Rfam family: Bacterial small subunit ribosomal RNA
Source: RNAcentral
AGUGACGUCAAGUACAGCAUGGCCUUUAUAUCCUGGGCGUACACACACGCUACAAUGGGAAGGGACAAUAGGUUGCGAAGCCGCGAGGCGGAGCCAAUCCAGCAAAACUUCCCUCAGUUCAGAUUGCAGGCUGCAACCCGCCUGCAUGAAGUUGGAGUUGCUAGUAAACGCAGGUCAGCCAUACUGCGUUGAAUACGUUCCCGGGGCUU